This 29-nucleotide non-coding RNA is filed under the name Mus musculus (house mouse). The record is from RNAcentral. Lineage: Eukaryota; Metazoa; Chordata; Mammalia; Rodentia; Muridae.
UGAUGUGUAUGGUGGGCCUCGUGAUGGGA